AGAAACAAUAAGUAAACUACAGUGGAUUGUUUUUUAAAUGAAAAGUAUGAUUUCUACGACUGCUGCAUUACAAUAUUAUAGUAGAUACAACUUUUUACAGUCUUGUUUUGGUAUCGACUAUUUUAUAAAACUAUACUGCCUUGAUACUAUGCCAACCUGAAAAGGUCGGAGAUUAGAUGGUAAUUCCAGAAGAUGGAAUUAUUUGAGAUUAAAAAGUCCUUCAAACUUAU
This is a long non-coding RNA of Agrilus planipennis (emerald ash borer), 230 nucleotides long. RefSeq lists it as uncharacterized. NCBI's taxonomy places the organism in Eukaryota, Metazoa, Arthropoda, Insecta, Coleoptera, Buprestidae. The record is from RefSeq and is a predicted model, not a curated record. The transcript is spliced from 2 exons.